GUUACUCGGGGGUUCGAAUCCUUCCGUCCCAG
This 32-nucleotide transfer RNA is filed under the name Guarianthe aurantiaca. RNAcentral describes it as "partial tRNA-Gln". Lineage: Eukaryota; Viridiplantae; Streptophyta; Magnoliopsida; Asparagales; Orchidaceae. The record is from RNAcentral.